Molecule: ribosomal RNA, 760 nt
Filed under: Triticum aestivum (bread wheat)
Lineage: Eukaryota; Viridiplantae; Streptophyta; Magnoliopsida; Poales; Poaceae
Description: partial small subunit ribosomal RNA
Source: RNAcentral
AUGGUUGAGCACGUCCAAAACUAUGAUGUGCUGGAGAAGUGUACAAAAGAUAUUCUCUCCAUAAUCAAGCCAACAGAGGACGAUCGGAACAAACGACUGCAUGCAAUUCAGGAGAUUGUGAAUUCCAUCUAUUUAGUUGGUGGCUUAGGCGAUGCCGCUGUCAAACCUUUUGGAUCCUUUCUAUCAGAACUCUAUGCAAAAUCAGGCGAUUUGGAUGUAUCAGUUGAGCUGCCAAAUGUCUCAGGCUUCUCUACAAGCAAGGAAAAGAAGCAAAAUCUCUUGAGAAAACUAAUGAAAGCUUUACAAAUUAGUGGUGUUGCUAGAGAUGUGAACUUCAUUCCUACUGCAAGAGUUCCAGUCCUUCAAUAUGUGAGCAACCACUUUGGCAUUUCCUGUGAUAUAUCCAUCAAUAACUACCCUGGUCGAAUUAAAUCCAAAGUGUUGUACUGGAUCAAUACCUUAGACAGCCGCUUUGGUGAUUUGGUUUUAUUGGUCAAGGAAUGGGCAAAAGCUCAAAACAUUAAUGAUCCAAAAAAUGGAACCCUGAACUCCUAUUCGCUUUGCUUACUUGUCCUUUUUCAUUUUCAGACAUGCAAGCCUGCAAUUUUACCACCUAUGAAAGAGUUUUUUGAUUUUAACAUUCUAGGAGUUUGGGCGUAUUGUUGUCCAUUCUAGUGAGGUUAUCCACUUACACGGGUCGGCUCCUGCGAAAACAAGGCGGCCUAUACUGGAUGACCAAAUCUUACUGCUUGUUUGUAAG